GUAUGGUGCAAGCGUUAUCCGGAUUUACUGGGUGUAAAGGGAGCGCAGGCGGAAGGCUAAGUCUGAUGUGAAAGCCCGGGGCUCAACCCCGGUACUGCAUUGGAAACUGGUCAUCUAGAGUGUCGGAGAGGUAAGUGGAAUUCCCAGUGUAGCGGUGAAAUGCGUAGAUAUUGGGAGGAACACCAGUGGCGAAGGCGGCUUACUGGACGAUGACUGACGUUGAGGCUCGAAAGCGUGGGGAGCAAACAGGAUUAGAUACCCUGGUAGUCCACGCUGUAAACGAUGAUUACUAGGUGUGGGGGGACUGACCCCUUCCGUGCCGCAGUUAACACAAUAAGUAAUCCACCUGGGGAGU
RNAcentral lists this ribosomal RNA (355 nucleotides) under uncultured bacterium. Its description in RNAcentral is "bacterial SSU rRNA". It matches the Rfam family "Bacterial small subunit ribosomal RNA", at positions 527 to 881 of the family's 1533-position model. The record is from RNAcentral.